UGUAAUAGGAAAAAAAAAAACACUAUUGCCAAACAGGGAGAAUGUGUACCGGUUGCCAAGAUAUAAGGCUUUAGAGGAAACAACUUCCUUUAAUCAAGGGGAGAAUGUAUCUGGUCCAUGGCCUAAUCAUGAUGACAGGAGUUGUUUGGCCAUGCCUAAGCAUGAUUAGAAGUGAUGAUUGCAAUGCCUAAGCAUGAUUAGAAGUGAUGAUUGCAGGAGACAUUAGCCAAGGCUUGACAUGGUUAGAAAUGCGUUUAAUGUAUGGUAAAUAUGGGUAGAAACUUUUACCAUAUUCUUAAUUAACACAAUAGCU
RNAcentral lists this long non-coding RNA (313 nucleotides) under Prunus persica (peach). RNAcentral's name for it is "long non-coding RNA (PPER_LNC007780)". Lineage: Eukaryota; Viridiplantae; Streptophyta; Magnoliopsida; Rosales; Rosaceae. The record is from RNAcentral.